UGAUCACUUCAUCCCCGGGGCAUACAUCACCGCCCAGAGACCACAUCGAUGCUCGUUAAAUACAUCCGAUCAGACAGUUGUUCGAUAAAGCGCCACUCGCCAUUCACGCAGAGUAGUCGUAACGCACAGGCCUUACAUUUGAUCAGAUGGUGGCUCGCUACUUGAGGAGUCACAAUGCUUCACUGAAUCUCUAGUAAAUAACAAUGUCUGGCUCUUAAUGUCGUAGCAAGACAUACACGAUGUCCUCAGUAGAGAAUCUUUAGUCAUCUAUCCAUAUACAGCUAGCUGACUGGGUUUCAAUCCACGUGCUGCAAAAUGAACCAAACAACAGCGGCUACCGAACUGCGAUCGGCGUAUUUCUUCAGGGUCCAUAUAGCGAGUCUGGAUUCUGGAUUCUGGAUUUGAAUUAAUAAAAUAUCUCCUCCGGCCUCGGCCGACACCGGGCUCCGACUCACCCAUUUGCCGGUCGGUCAGCAGUCGUAGGGGAGACCGGAGAUUGACCGAUGUCCGCCAAGAGGGCUUGUGCUGAGUCUACUGAUAGCCAGCCGCAAGACCGAGUCAAAAGGGUGAAGUGUCAUGCAGUUGAGAGUGCCCUUGUAUGAGCAGCUACACGCAGAGUGUUAUUAUCACUUUGUCCUACCCAUAUUAUUACACAUUAGUUGGCCAUCGCGUUAUGCAUGGAGUAGUUGAGUAGGCGUUCCAGUAUAUGGCACCGACCUUUUAUCUCGGUAAGCAAAAGGCGAAACUUGGAGUCUGUUCAACAUGUAGAUAAAGACUGCUACAGGAAUCCUCAUACGUUGCCAUUCGGAUUAUUAUUCUGUACUUUGCCCCUCCGUGCUCGUGCCCGCGCUUUUGCUACCUUCAGACCUGGCAAAAACACCAUCUUCUCCUUCUUCUCUUAGCGCCCGAUCCACACCCAUGGCCCCCACGCCAGCGCCUCCGAGAGGAAUAUCGCUUCCCUAGAGAUGUUUCAGUCCGUAUCUCAAGUCGAUAACAUUAAGCCUUCCUGGUUGCUCGUCAUCCUGUCCUGCCACAACUACCAGCCUAUGCACUCGUCUAAUCUUGAUCAAACUGAAUAUCGCGCUAAGGGAAUCCUUUGGCGAACAAGUUACCACACCAGCGAAGUCAACAGCCCGUUGUUUCAGAGCUUGUGCAAUGGUCAAAUCAAGCGAAGUAUAUGCGCCAUUCCGCACCAGAGUCUGAUAAUUGCGUCAGCCAAGUAUGAUAUAAUAAGACCAUGUUGUACUUACAAUGACAUCAACAGUUUCAUACAGAUUGAGUACUUUGCCCUGGUCAUCGACGAUUGGCACAGCACUAAUUCCCUGUUCCGAGAACAUAUGCACCACAUCAAACACUGUCGUUUUCAUUGUGGCAGCAGCUAUCGGCCAAAACUUGUUAGUGUUUGAAGAAUCAGGAUUGGGCGAGACAUAUGUUCCGAUGCCGAGUUCCUGGACAGAAGCAGUAAGGUAUUGCGUAAUGUCUCGGCACUGACUCAAAUUAGCUCCGUCCUGGAAGAAUCGUAGAUGUCUCUCACAUUCAUGGCAAUGAAUUUCAGUACCCUGUACUGCGUUAAAACACUGAUCACAACCUCUCCGUUGGUUUGUGGAUCCUUGUCAAUGAGGGGAAGGCGCCGAGCAUGCGUGCGAAUAAGAUACCGACAGGCGUCAUAUAAUGGGCGGAGAGGAUGUACAUAGAGGAGUGGUGGCGGCGGAACGUGAAGGACCUUUUCAAUGUCUAUGACGAAUUAAUACAGUCAUCUGUCAUUGAAAACGAAAACGGACCUCUGAUACUCUGCAAUCUAAAUUGCUCUACGUCCGCUGUGGCACCUUCCCAACUUGAAGUAUGAUAAUAAUAUUGGAUCAGAUGGAUGACAUCUUGAACCGUAAACAUCCCUUUGGUGGGCUAUUCAGCAUAUUUACUUUUUAAUACGUCAUAGACUCACCGGCAAAUUGAGCUGACGAUGUGUUCCAUAAAGGUGCAGAGACCACCCCUACGAUAAUCCAUCAGUUACGACCGCAAAUUGAGGGGAAACGCAAAUUACUUACCGUACAAUAGCAUCACAUCCAAUGCCUUCUUCACCUUUAGUUGUGUGUCAAGCACUAUCAGCCUAAAGCUGACUGGGAAAACAUCAUAGCUAGAGCGUUCUUUCAGAAAAGCUCGGAGUGCUUCGAGAGCUUCGUCAUGAGUCAGCGGCCUUGGAGGAGCCAUUGGUGGAUGUGUCGCGCGUGAUGGGCGACGGGUGAUAGAAACGGGAGCACGGUCGGAGAAGGCUUGAGAAGCUGUAGAUGACGUCGUGGACGUCGAAAUUUGGGGAUGAUAGGAUUGAGAGGGCCGUUGAUUAGGGCGAAAGGAUGCUGUAGGAGAUGUGGAGGACAUGAUUGCGUGCAGGUAGCGCCGCGUACGCAAUAGGUGCUAUGGCAAUCUUCCGAGCGGUCGGUGAAGCAGGACCGUUGGGGCAGGCAAAUUAAAAGGAUGGUUGAGGAAGGGUACGGCAGAGAAUGGAGCGUGGUGCGUUAUAAAGAAAUAAUCCAUGGAAGAAUAGACAGACAUGCAGAAACAGUCCAAAGUG
Molecule: small RNA, 2569 nt
Filed under: Cryptococcus neoformans H99
Lineage: Eukaryota; Fungi; Basidiomycota; Tremellomycetes; Tremellales; Cryptococcaceae
Description: Cryptococcus neoformans var. grubii H99 hypothetical RNA
Source: RNAcentral